AUUGAACGCUGGCGGAAUGCUUUACACAUGCAAGUCGAACGGCAGCACGGACUUCGGUCUGGUGGCGAGAGGCGAACGGGUGAGUAACAUAUCGGAACGUAUCCAAUAAUGGGGGAUAACUAAUCGAAAGGUUGGCUAAUACCGCAUACGCCCUACGGGGGAAAGCUAGGGACCUUCGGGCCUGGCGUUAAUGGAGCGGCCGAUAUCUGAUUAGCUAGUUGGUGAGGUAAAGGCUCACCAAGGCGACGAUCAGUAGCUGGUCUGAGAGGACGACCAGCCACACUGGAACUGAGACACGGUCCAGACUCCUACGGGAGGCAGCAGUGGGGAAUUUUGGACAAUGGGCGCAAGCCUGAUCCAGCCAUUCCGCGUGAGUGAAGAAGGCCUUCGGGUUGUAAAGCUCUUUCGCAAGGGAAGAAAACUUAUCCUCUAACAUAGGAUGAGGUUGACGGUACCUUGAUAAGAAGCACCGGCUAACUACGUG
This 484-nucleotide ribosomal RNA is filed under the name uncultured bacterium. Its description in RNAcentral is "bacterial SSU rRNA". It matches the Rfam family "Bacterial small subunit ribosomal RNA", at positions 30 to 507 of the family's 1533-position model. The record is from RNAcentral.